RNAcentral lists this ribosomal RNA (757 nucleotides) under Sarcocystis sp. Its description in RNAcentral is "partial large subunit ribosomal RNA". The record is from RNAcentral. Lineage: Eukaryota; Apicomplexa; Conoidasida; Eucoccidiorida; Sarcocystidae.
AUCUAGUAUGUGAAGUUUUGUAUGGUAUCGAGCCCUGUUUCCUCUAUCAUCCUACUACUCCUCUCCCGCGGGGGAGGGGAGGAGGAGGGGUGAUGGGUAGUAGUGUAGGCAAUAGAUACCAGGGACGAGGAUCAUACUGGAGAGGUCAGCAUCAGUUACGGACUAGAGAUUGUUGAAUGGAUGCAAAAGGUAGGUCCGUCGUGGGCUGCUUUUAUAGUUGCACCAUGUUUGUGCUAUUGUCUGUGACUGAGGUGGAUGAUGUGGAAAUCAUCGUAUGAYGAUGACGAUGCUGCAUGGAAUUUUCGGGCUGCACACCCACAGACAGGGGAGUGUAGUCGAAGAAUUCUGUGAUGCUGCUGGCUAAAACGGUUUCAACCGACCCGUCUUGAAACACGGACCAAGGAGUCUAACAUAUGUGCGAGUAUGCGGGUGGCAAACCUGUAUGCGUAAUGAAAGUGAGAGUAGGGAGGGAGAGUGUUGUUGUAGUAGUAGUAGUAGGAGUGAUAUUAUAUUAUAUAGUGGUUCUGCUGCUAGUAGUAUAGUAUAGUGCUGCUGCUGCUGCUGCUGCUUCCGCUUUUUUGCACCUACGACCGACCACGAUCGUUAUCAUUGUUAUAAUAUGUGAUGAUGAUAAUAGGAGAGAGGUUUGAGUUGGAGCAUAUGUGUUAGGACCCGAAAGAUGGUGAACUAUGCCUGGGUAGAAUGAAGUCAGGGGAAACCCUGAUGGAGGUUYGUAGCGAUACUGACGUGCAAAUCG